RNAcentral lists this ribosomal RNA (503 nucleotides) under uncultured bacterium. RNAcentral's name for it is "partial 16S ribosomal RNA". It matches the Rfam family "Bacterial small subunit ribosomal RNA", at positions 30 to 523 of the family's 1533-position model. The record is from RNAcentral.
AUUGAACGCUGGCGGCAGGCUUAACACAUGCAAGUCGAGCGGGGUGAUGGUGCUUGCACUAUCACUUAGCGGCGGACGGGUGAGUAAUGCUUAGGAAUCUGCCUAUUAGUGGGGGACAACAUCUCGAAAGGGAUGCUAAUACCGCAUACGUCCUACGGGAGAAAGCAGGGGAUCACUUGUGACCUUGCGCUAAUAGAUGAGCCUAAGUCGGAUUAGCUAGUUGGUGGGGUAAAGGCCUACCAAGGCGACGAUCUGUAGCGGGUCGGAGAGGAUGAUCCGCCACACUGGGACGGAGACACGGCCCAGACUCCUACGGGAGGCAGCAGUGGGGAAUAUUGGACAAUGGGGGGAACCCUGAUCCAGCCAUGCCGCGUGUGUGAAGAAGGCCUUAUGGUUGUAAAGCACUUUAAGCGAGGAGGAGGCUCUUUUGGUUAAUGCCCAAGAUGAGUGGACGUUACUCGCAGAAUAAGCACCGGCUAACUCUGUGCCAGCAGCCGCGGUAA